RNAcentral lists this ribosomal RNA (495 nucleotides) under uncultured bacterium. RNAcentral's name for it is "partial 16S ribosomal RNA". It matches the Rfam family "Bacterial small subunit ribosomal RNA", at positions 28 to 507 of the family's 1533-position model. The record is from RNAcentral.
GACGAACGCUGGCGGCGUGCCUAAUACAUGCAAGUAGAACGCUGAAGGAGGAGCUUGCUUCUCUGGAUGAGUUGCGAACGGGUGAGUAACGCGUAGGUAACCUGCCUGGUAGCGGGGGAUAACUAUUGGAAACGAUAGCUAAUACCGCAUAAUAGUAGAUGUUGCAUGACAUUUGCUUAAAAGGUGCAAUUGCAUCACUACCAGAUGGACCUGCGUUGUAUUAGCUAGUUGGUGAGGUAACGGCUCACCAAGGCAACGAUACAUAGCCGACCUGAGAGGGUGAUCGGCCACACUGGGACUGAGACACGGCCCAGACUCCUACGGGAGGCAGCAGUAGGGAAUCUUCGGCAAUGGACGGAAGUCUGACCGAGCAACGCCGCGUGAGUGAAGAAGGUUUUCGGAUCGUGAAGCUCUGUUGUAAGAGAAGAACGAGUGUGAGAGUGGAAAGUUCACACUGUGACGGUAUCUUACCAGAAAGGGACGGCUAACUACGUG